Cucurbita pepo subsp. pepo (vegetable marrow) is the source of this 749-nucleotide non-coding RNA. NCBI's taxonomy places the organism in Eukaryota, Viridiplantae, Streptophyta, Magnoliopsida, Cucurbitales, Cucurbitaceae. The record is from RefSeq and is a predicted model, not a curated record.
AUUGUCCCUCUCAUCCAGGCUUCGACUGCGCCGUCGUGUUCGCCAGUGCAGCCAUUCGUCUCCUUCCGGAUCGCUAAAUGAUCUCCGGUCGAAAUCGUCGAACCUAUUUAGCGGUGGACGGCGGUGGUCCGGGACUGGGUGUCGGUAAUUGAAGAGACAAACCGGUGGGUCGAGCAUUAGCGAGAGAGCUUCGAGUAAACGAGUCUCCGGUGAAGGAUCGAGUUCGGGGAGGGGGAGGUGGACCUCUUCAACGAAGUGGCCGAAACAGCGUGGGCAUGUGAGGUCCGACGGUUGUGCGGAGGCGAGGGUGACGGUCCGAUGGCAUUGGUGGCACCAGUAGAGGUGGAAGGUUCUGGCAUGGCGGCGGUCGUUGGUUGUGUGGGGAGGUGGGGUGAAAGACAUGGGUAGUUUUGUUAUAUUAUGAAAGGAUUUGGGAAAGGGAAUCGGAAUAUGGGAAGAUUUUAUAUAUCGGAAAACGAUGGGAGAGGACGGGAGAAAGGAAUGGCUUCCUUGGUUUGCAGAAGCAAUUCCGACAGCCGCCAUUUCUGUAUUCUGAGUGACUCGAGACCCAAACAUAUGCCAACGUUGUCCCGACGUCCGAAUUUCUCGUGACUGACUUGUUCACUCGAUUAGAACAAGUGUCGCACAAUCACUAUCCCGCUAUUAUAAGAGUGCGAUUGUAACAGGUAAAGAUGAUUAUUCUUUGUUGAAUAUGAUAUUCAUUCUCUUAUAAAUUAAUGUCGAAAGUA